This 406-nucleotide ribosomal RNA is filed under the name uncultured bacterium. Its description in RNAcentral is "partial 16S ribosomal RNA". It matches the Rfam family "Bacterial small subunit ribosomal RNA", at positions 29 to 526 of the family's 1533-position model. The record is from RNAcentral.
AUUGAACGCUGGCGGCAGGCUUAACACAUGCAAGUCGAGCGAGCGGCGGACGGGUGAGUAAGGUCUGGGAAACUGCCUGACGGAGGGGGAUAACUACUGGAAAAGGUAGCUAAUACCGCAUACCAUCAGAUGUGCCCAGAUGGGAUGAGCUAGGUGGGGGGGUAAUGGCUCACCUAGGCGACGAUCCCUAGCUGGUCUGAGAGGAGGACCAGCCACACUGGAACUGAGACACGGUCCAGACUCCUACGGGAGGCAGCAGUGGGGAAUAGUGCACAAUGGGCGCAAGCCUGAUGCAGCAAUGCCGCGUGUGUGAAGAAGGCCUUCGGGUUGUAAAGCACUGUCAGCGAGGAGGCGUUACUCGCCGAAGAAGCACCGGCUAACUCCGUGCCAGCAGCCGCGGUAAUAC